RNAcentral lists this ribosomal RNA (460 nucleotides) under uncultured bacterium. RNAcentral's name for it is "partial 16S ribosomal RNA". It matches the Rfam family "Bacterial small subunit ribosomal RNA", at positions 338 to 795 of the family's 1533-position model. The record is from RNAcentral.
CCUACGGGAGGCAGCAGUGAGGAAUAUUGGUCAAUGGACGAGAGUCUGAACCAGCCAAGUAGCGUGAAGGAUGACUGCCCUAUGGGUUGUAAACUUCUUUUAUAUGGGAAUAAAAUGUUCCACGUGUGGGAUUUUGUAUGUACCAUAUGAAUAAGGAUCGGCUAACUCCGUGCCAGCAGCCGCGGUAAUACGGAGGAUCCGAGCGUUAUCCGGAUUUAUUGGGUUUAAAGGGAGCGUAGGCGGAUUGUUAAGUCAGUUGUGAAAGUUUGCGGCUCAACCGUAAAAUUGCAGUUGAAACUGGCAGUCUUGAGUACAGUAGAGGUGGGCGGAAUUCGUGGUGUAGCGGUGAAAUGCUUAGAUAUCACGAAGAACUCCGAUUGCGAAGGCAGUUCACUGGACUGCAACUGACACUGAGGCUCGAAAGUGUGGGUAUCAAACAGGAUUAGAUACCCGUGUAGUC